CUUCAGGUAGCCGGUAGCCUUAAGGUAGCCUUCAGGUAGCUGGUAGCCUUCAGGUAGCCUUCAGUCUGCAGGUGGCCUCCAUGUAGCCAGUAGCCUUAAGGUAGCUGGUAGCCUUCAGGUAGCUGGUAGCCUUCAGGUAGCCUUCAGUCUGCAGGUGGCCUCCAUGUAGCCAGUAGCCUUAAGGUAGCUGGUAGCCUUCAGGUAGCUGGUAGCCUUCAGGUAGCCUUCAGUCUGCAGGUGGCCUUAAGGUAAUGGUAGCCUUCAGAUAGCCUUCAGUCUGCAGGUGGCCUUCAGGUAGCCGGUAGCUUCAGGUAGCUGGUAGCUUCAGGUAGCUGAU
Molecule: long non-coding RNA, 337 nt
Organism: Cyclopterus lumpus (lumpfish)
Lineage: Eukaryota; Metazoa; Chordata; Actinopteri; Perciformes; Cyclopteridae
Exons: 3
Source: RefSeq, a predicted model, not a curated record